Molecule: long non-coding RNA, 241 nt
Filed under: Setaria viridis
Lineage: Eukaryota; Viridiplantae; Streptophyta; Magnoliopsida; Poales; Poaceae
Description: long non-coding RNA (SVIR_LNC005474)
Source: RNAcentral
AAGAUAGUAGUCUGUAGACUUUGUUAUAUGCUACCUUUUCAGCUCCCAACAUCUGAACUUCAUUUUGCUUAUAGGAUUAUAAACUGAAUUUUCUUUCGAUGGAGGUAUAGGAAAGUUAAUUUCAGUCAGGAAAGACUUCAUAAAUAAUUUCCUUUGUGUCCAACUGUCCAUCUAAAAACAAACUAUUGUGGUUGGCUUCCUAAAGAAUGCAGUAGUGAAACAUCUCCAUGUUCAGUCUGCU